Molecule: non-coding RNA, 116 nt
Organism: Triticum aestivum (bread wheat)
Lineage: Eukaryota; Viridiplantae; Streptophyta; Magnoliopsida; Poales; Poaceae
Source: Rfam
GAUAAACUCCCUCCUCCUCGAAUUACUUGUCUUGGAUUUGUUAGAUACGGAUGUAUCACGUACAUCCGUAUCUAGACAAAUCUAAGACAAGUAAUUCGGGGCGGAGGUAGUAGAAA